CCUACGGGAGGCUGCAGUGGGGAAUUUUGGACAAUGGGCGAAAGCCUGAUCCAGCAAUGCCGCGUGUGUGAAGAAGGCCUUCGGGUUGUAAAGCACUUUUGUCCGGAAAGAAAUCCUUGGCUCUAAUACAGUCGGGGGAUGACGGUACCGGAAGAAUAAGCACCGGCUAACUACGUGCCAGCAGCCGCGGUAAUACGUAGGGUGCGAGCGUUAAUCGGAAUUACUGGGCGUAAAGCGUGCGCAGGCGGUUUGCAUGAACGACUGGAAGAGCCCCGGACGAGACCGGGGAGGUGAUGUUGUGAGUGGGAGGCUAGAUUAUGGGAGGGGGGGGUAAAAGUCGCCGGGUAGCAGUGAAAGGCGUAGGGAUGGGGUGAAAUACCGGUGUCGAGGGCAGCCCCAGGGGCCAUUACUGACGCUGAUGCACGAAAGCGGGGGGAGCAAACAGGAUUAGAUACCCCUGUAGUC
RNAcentral lists this ribosomal RNA (465 nucleotides) under uncultured Cupriavidus sp. RNAcentral's name for it is "bacterial SSU rRNA". It matches the Rfam family "Bacterial small subunit ribosomal RNA", at positions 338 to 795 of the family's 1533-position model. Lineage: Bacteria; Pseudomonadati; Pseudomonadota; Betaproteobacteria; Burkholderiales; Burkholderiaceae. The record is from RNAcentral.